CUGGACUUUUACGCAAGACCAUGUCGGCAGGAUUAUUCCAGGAUUUAGAGCUGAGAAUUAGGUGACAUUAGAUAUUUAAAAUGAGCCAUUCAGCUCCAGAUCAAACACCAGAGACACUAAUGUGACCCAUCUUAGACAUUUAUUUCCUGACACAAGUGGUCUAAGGUACAGCUUGUACUGGGUUAAUGAAGACUGUAGUCCCAGGGGACAGAGCUGGACAGAUGGUGACGCAGUGAAGAUGAGGGUCUUCUCCUGUCGAUCCAAUAGCCUGCAGACCCCCGUUCACCCGUUUUUUUCCGCUCCAUCUAGAUUUCAGGUGGCCGAUUCUCCAUAGAGUUGUUACCUUGGAAACAGCACCUUAUGUAUUUAUAGAGAGAGACUGAGUAGACACGGGGAGCAGGAGACAAGACGUGGACUGUGAUACAGUGCAGAGGGAUGAGGGAGUGGCUCCACGUUUAUUUUGCCUCUUGGUUCUUUAAUUGAACAGAGGUCAGCCUGUGAUCACAUCCCUCCUCCACUUGCACUGGCUGCCAGUUGUGCUUUACGUCUAAGUUACAAGACCUGAUCCGGCAAAUUUUUUUAUGUGAAAGAUCCUGAUUUGUAAUUCAAGCAGCAUCUCUCUUUGCAGUGACAUUGUUUCUUCUUUGACCUCUACCUCCUGUGGUGGAAAGUAACCAUGCACGCUCACUCACGUACAGCGUUGAGAAGUCACAGACGGUGCCCAGCAGUGUGCCCGUGGCCGAGGCUUGGUAUUUUAAAACCCUGUCCAUCCACCCACACACGGAAACAGAGUUCACCAGUGACUGCACCUUUUCAUAAAGACGAGUCAUCUCUAGCCUUUUUGCAUCGCCAUGGAAACCACUGAAUUUGUCCAAUUGAUUGGCAGUGGACUAACGCCGAGGCAAAGAACUCUUCAGUUUCAUAAAACACACUGAAUCUGCGGUCAGCUGGUCGAAGAGAGACGUCUGCUGCCUGUGACAAAAGAAGAUAGAUUGUUUAAUAUGAAUAAAAGCUUUGCCAAUAAAAGUAGUCACUGUUGUAUUAUAUUAGUUUGAACAAUGUUAUAUUAUUUCACCACAUGUGUAUAUAACAUGUAAUUCCUGUUUGCUGUAUUUUUCCUUCAUCCUUCUGUUUUAUUAGAUUUAUUAUGUGAACAUAUUGUUUUAACUUGUGAGUGUCCAGGUCCUCCAUUAAUCAUCAUUAAGGUACUUUAAAUCUCCUUACCUUCCUUUUCUCUGCACUUCUUUAGACAAAUAUUGUACUACCUUUCUCCACUACAUUUAUCUGACAGCUUGAGUCGCUGGUAAACCUUGUCUAUUGCAGAUUAAAGGUUCUAAUGCAAAAUAUCAUUGCCUGACAAAUUCUGAUGCAUUGAACAACAUAAACUACAUCACUCUGUUUAUGCCUGGGUGUACUUUCCUCAGGAUGGACAAGUUUCUGCCUCAGAGUGUCGGUAGGUUUGAAGUGAACCGG
RNAcentral lists this long non-coding RNA (1473 nucleotides) under Sparus aurata (gilthead seabream). RNAcentral's name for it is "lncRNA (ENSSAUG00010023537.1)". The record is from RNAcentral. Lineage: Eukaryota; Metazoa; Chordata; Actinopteri; Spariformes; Sparidae.